Molecule: small RNA, 317 nt
Filed under: Pongo abelii (Sumatran orangutan)
Lineage: Eukaryota; Metazoa; Chordata; Mammalia; Primates; Hominidae
Description: retained intron
Source: RNAcentral
GCCCUUCUGAGCUCUUUCUACCCAGCUCCCUCUGCCGGGUGGCCUGGAGGGCUCCUGGGGGAUCUGUGGUUUGCUGCUGAGCCUGUUGUCUGCUCAUCUCCUCAGGUGUGUGGUUGUGUUGUUCAAUCCCCGGAAACACAAACAGCACCACAUCCUCAACAGUUCCAGGAAAACCAUCACUGCCCUUGCCUUCUCCCCUGAUGGCAAGUACUUGGUCACUGGAGAGGUGAGUGAGGAAGAGGGCUGGCAGUACUGUAAAGAGGGCAGGUGUCCUGGCCUCCGCAGAGAGCUGCGGUCCUAGGCCUGCUGUCACUUUG